UUUCUUAAAUUAACGACAUAAUAAAAACACAAAUGCAAUUAUAAUAGGCAGAUAAUAUCCUAUAGUAGCCGACUGCUGUAUGUAAGAUGUCAGAAGUUGAACAGGUGGACGUUGACGUCACUUCCACUGAAGAUUCGGCCGAAAAAGACAAGAAUUUAUCGAAAUGCGCAUAUUGCGAAUGUGCUAAAGAUGGAAUUCUUGCGUUUCAUUGCGAUGGAUGUAAAAGUUGGGUCCAUUCAAAUUGCCUACAUUCUGGCCCCCCAAACUCAGUGUUGGGCGAUAAUUAUUUUACGUUCAUGUGUUCCUCAUGCAACGGCGGAAAAGAAACUUACACCAGGAUGAAAGUGACGUGGAUCCAAGUUGUGUCAUUAUCUUUAUACAACCUUGCCCAAACAAGCAUGGGGAAACAGGGAUUCUUUAAGUGGAAAGAAGACAUUUGUCUUUUUAUUGAUAAACACUGGGAUUCAUUCUUUGGGGAAAGCAAAAAGAAGACAAACCAAUGGACAUGUACAGUGGGCAGUGUGCUUUCAGCUGGCAACCCCAUCAGGUUCCAGAGUGGGCACGGCAUAUUCAAGGACUCUGGUUGGUGGAGAUUGGUCGACCCGACACAAGCCCCUGAGUAUGUUCCUGGUGCCGUGAUCAUUAACACACCAAAAUACAAGCCACGUCGCCUCCCGUUUGGAUCGGGGCGAUCCGGUUCACGUAGAAGAUCGCACAUGGUUCACGCUCGGAAUGCAAGGUUAAAGAAAGCUGCGUUGAUUCAAGAAGCGAACUUAAGUGAAGAGAAAAGUCCCAUAGACUCACCCGUGUCAAACGUGUCCAACGUGUCAAAUAUUGCGCAAGAUUCACCUCGGCCUUCCUCGCCUUCAAGUUCUAUUUCAUCCUUGGACUUCAAGACCCAACACACAAAAGAAGCGAAGAUCGACCCCACCCUCCCCCUCAAUGCUAUCAGUGAUGAAUCGGACACCGAGGAUAUUCUGCACCAACGUGGUGGGGAGGGGGGAGUGGGGGGUGAUGGGCAUAGGACUGAAGCGAUGGAAGACACCUCCAGCUCGGUGGCAUCCGUCCCCCCUUCAAUCAAACCAAAUGUCACAAAGUCGAUGUUCCUUCCGGAGAAAAGAGAAACCAAACCCAUUGUCGCAGCUGAGGAAGAUGAUAAACCAAAGAUCCGAAUGAUGAAUUUAUACGAGGAGCGAAAACUUGUGAAGAAACUUCUCCAUCACUCUAAAGUUGAAGAUGAUGUUGAUGGGAGGAGGUUGAGGAGAAAGUUGUUGCUUAGACAGAAGAAACGUCAACUUGGACUCUCUGUUUUCAACUUUGAUGACACAGUACGUAGGUUGUUAAGUAGGGAACAAAACCUCAUCAUACCAACAUCAGAUGGUCCCAAAUAUAACCCGGUGGUUCAACGUGGGGAGCACCGGGUGUUGGAUCGAUUCUUGUCAUCCGACCCCAAGCUAUACGGUGCGGAUGAAUCUCGACGGACUUUCAAACAGAAGCUGGUUGGAUCGAACGAGCUAACAUCCGAACAACAACUGAUAGUCAGUCCUUACACACAAAGAAUCCUGAAGCCGUUCAUUCGAAGAGAUUUUGAAACGAAACCUCCAAAGUUAAAAGUUCUCAUUGAGAUCGUGGAGAAUUAUCAUAAAUCAGAUACAACGUGGCAAGCAGAUGUAGCAUCUCCCAUUGAUUAUUGUUACGUGCGUCCGCGUCACAUACCAACUAUUAAUGCAUUGUGUCGACACUUCUUCUGGCCUGGCAUUGAUCUAUCAGAGAGCUUGCAAUAUCCUGACUUUAGUGUGGUUGCUCUGUACAAGAAAAUGGUGGUAGGGUUUGGAUUCCUGGUUCCAGAUGUUUCAUUCAACCAAGCUUAUAUUUCCUUUCUACUUGUUCAUCCGGAUUGGCAACAUGCGGGUAUUGGGACCUUCAUGCUGUAUCAUCUAAUGCAGGCUUAUCGUUACCAUGUAUCCAACAACUGCUGUACCUACAUGGACGAAUACUGAUUUCAAAAACCUGACAGUUACUAACGUGACAUGCGCCAGCCGACAGAAGGCAUCGUUUCUCAUCUUUUGCAUCGUCCCGUCCAUUUCUAUACUUAUAAACGUGGUUGUACUGGUCGCCGUUCUGAGGAAAUCCAGGAAACUGGUUCGCCAAAGCCACGUAUACGCUCAUGUCAGUUCGACUCUGUUCGCUAACGUGUUGUUCUCGGUGCUCGGGCUUUUACAGCUAAUCAGCUUGUACUUUCACUUCGGGGGCCACCCUGGCGAUCCUGACCCUGCAAGACGUGGUGUCGUUAAACAAGGGUCUGGACAACUAUGGACUUUCCUCAAAGCUUUCCUGUGUGGGAUGUUUAUCAUUAUAUGCGGGAAUAUAGGGCUUUUGAUUGACAGCAUACGUCACACCACGUGUCUUACACUAAGGACGGCUGCAGGAUAUCGUUCUCAUCAAAGCGAAGGGAAUGGGGGAAGAUGGAAAAAGAGGUUGCUGACACGACGACAGCGUUCAUAUAUCCUAAUCGCCGUAUUAUGGAUCGUGCCCAUUAUAUACGUGUUGAUACCGAUAGCUGGUUGGAGCUGCGCCGAAAUCUGCCAAUGUUUGAGCCAGUGCUUCUCCCCAG
Non-coding RNA from Ciona intestinalis (vase tunicate), 2614 nucleotides. The record is from RefSeq and is a predicted model, not a curated record. Lineage: Eukaryota; Metazoa; Chordata; Ascidiacea; Phlebobranchia; Cionidae.